GGUGAAACUCGUGGGGGGCAAUCUCGCUCGGGCGAACUAGCUGUUUUGCUCGUUGCAGCGCAUGCGCUGUGCUGUCUUUGAAUGUGUGCGUGCGUCAAAAGCGAGCGAAACGCCGCUGUGUCAAAAAAUUUGUAAACAAACUCAGUUGGAGUUCAGAAAAAUCUUACUUAUUACCGAUAUGUGCAGUGCCGUGGAAUAACAAAAAUUGCUUCAAAAAAGCUGUGUGUGUGGCUGAUACUCUAGCAUCUUUCCAUGUGUGUAAACAACGCCAAGAGUAUUACUGUUUUGUGAUCAUCAUAUUUCAUUCGGAUUGCACAUUACCGGGCAGAAAAAGCUUCAAGCAACCAAUUUUGUACAGCAUCCGCACGCUGUAUGAAGGUGUAAAACAAAUUGUCAUCUGUAAGAUGCUCUUCAAACCUGUCCAGUGACUCUUCGUUACUUAUAUAUUGCAUCGGGAUGGUUUGAGCAUUGCGUCGCACGCCUUUCAUCGGGUGUAUUGUGGCCACUACCGCAGCCGUUUGGGCAGUUCGGGCAUCCAGUUUUAAUAAUGAACAUUGUGAACAAAAAUCGUGCCCAGGAGAAGUUCUUUUUGCUUGAACUAACUCUGUGUUCUUAUUUACAUGAAUAGAUACGGUGGACGGAUGAAUGCUGCUUGCUGACGACUGCUCUUCGUGAAGUGUUGAUCCCGGUGAUGAAACACACGGUUCCGGUGUCAUGCUUGGUGACGGCUGACGGGAUCCUUGAUGCACGACAGUCGUUUUUGCCGGUCGCGCAACGUCAUGCGCGCAUGAACCAGCAGCUGAAGCAACAGACGAUUUCGGCGUCGCACUUGUAGUCGGCUGCGAUCCUUGCAUUUGUUCGUCAAACGAUCCUAACGAUCACGGAAUGCCAUCCACGGAUCCAGCAGCGGGAAUGACCGAUGGUACCGGCGUCGCACUUGUGGUCAGCUGCGAUCCAUGCGAACGCUUUAACGACAUUGUCGCUAGUGGAACAACACGCACGGAACUAGCAGGCACAACAAUCAUCCCACGUAUCGCUUUCGUUGAGGGCUGCGUUCCUCGCUUUUGUUCCAUCGAUCCUGCCGGACGCGUAGCGAUAUCCAUGGAACCAGCACCGGGGGCAAGAGACGGUUCCGGCGUCGGUCUUGAUGACGUUCGCGGUCCAAAAACACGGACGAUCGCGCCUGUGGAGCAUAAUACAGCCCAAGGCAGUUGUUGCAGUGCAAAAAGGCGCCCUUUCUUUGGUGGUUCCGGCAUUACAUUUUGGCUGAAAUAAUCAAUCGUUUUAUUAUUUUUUAUGUGAAACUGCUGAGUUGUAUUUGAAUGCUGCUUUGCGGUUUGAAAUCUCGAUGUUUAUGUUUUCAGCUGUGAAUUUCAAUAAAGGGUAACAAUCACA
Anopheles stephensi (Asian malaria mosquito) is the source of this 1395-nucleotide long non-coding RNA. RefSeq lists it as uncharacterized. Lineage: Eukaryota; Metazoa; Arthropoda; Insecta; Diptera; Culicidae. The record is from RefSeq and is a predicted model, not a curated record. The transcript is spliced from 4 exons.